AGUGAACGCUGGCGGCAGGCCUAACACAUGCAAGUCGAGCGGCAGCGCGGGGGUAACCCUGGCGGCGAGCGGCGGACGGGUGAGGAAUUCGUCGGAAUCUGCCUUUUUGUGGGGGAUAACGUAGGGAAACUUACGCUAAUACCGCAUACGUCCUACGGGAGCAAGUGGGGGGUCGUAGGGCCUCACGCGGGAAGAUGAGCCGACGACCGAUUAGCUAGUUGGUGGGGUAAAGGCCUACCAAGGCGACGAUCGGUAGCUGGUCUGAGAGGAUGAUCAGCCACACUGGAACUGAGACACGGCCCAGACUCCUACGGGAGGCAGCAGUGGGGAAUAUUGGACAAUGGGCGCAAGCCUGAUCCAGCCAUGCCGCGUGUGUGAAGAAGGCCUUCGGGUUGUAAAGCACUUUUGUCCGGAAAGAAAUCCCUGGAGCUAAUACCUUCGGGGGAUGACGGUACCGGAAGAAUAAGCACCGGCUAACUUCGUG
This 484-nucleotide ribosomal RNA is filed under the name uncultured bacterium. RNAcentral describes it as "partial 16S ribosomal RNA". It matches the Rfam family "Bacterial small subunit ribosomal RNA", at positions 30 to 507 of the family's 1533-position model. The record is from RNAcentral.